CCUACAGGAGGCAGCAGUGGGGGAUAUUGCACAAUGGGGGGAACCCUGAUGCAGCGACGCCGCGUGGGUGAAGAAGCGCCUCGGCGCGUAAAGCCCUGUCAGCAGGGAAGAAACUGACGGUACCUGAAGAAGAAGCACCGGCUAACUACGUGACAGCAGCCGCGGUAAUACGUAGGGGGCAAGCGUUAUCCGGAUUUACUGGGUGUAAAGGGGGCGGAGUCGGAGAUGCAAGCCAGGAGUGAAAGCCCGGGGCCAAACCCCGGCACUGAUCUGGGAAGUGCUUGGCUGGAGUGCAGGAGGGGCAGGCGGAAUUCCUGGUGUAGCGGUGAAAUGCGUAGAUAGCAGGAGGAACACCGAUGGCGAAGGCGGCCUGCUGGACUGCAACUGACGUUGAGGCCCGAAAGCGUGGGGAGCGAACAGGAUUAGAUACCCUAGUAGUC
RNAcentral lists this ribosomal RNA (440 nucleotides) under uncultured bacterium. Its description in RNAcentral is "partial 16S ribosomal RNA". It matches the Rfam family "Bacterial small subunit ribosomal RNA", at positions 338 to 795 of the family's 1533-position model. The record is from RNAcentral.